GGGGUUGUGACUCAGUGGUACAGCACUUGCCUAGCAUGCAUGAGACACUGGGUUCAAUCCUCAGCACCACA
Molecule: transfer RNA, 71 nt
Filed under: Marmota monax (woodchuck)
Lineage: Eukaryota; Metazoa; Chordata; Mammalia; Rodentia; Sciuridae
Description: tRNA.Ala
Source: RNAcentral